This 388-nucleotide ribosomal RNA is filed under the name uncultured bacterium. RNAcentral's name for it is "bacterial SSU rRNA". It matches the Rfam family "Bacterial small subunit ribosomal RNA", at positions 28 to 417 of the family's 1533-position model. The record is from RNAcentral.
GACGAACGCUGGCGGCGUGCUUAACACAUGCAAGUCGAGCGGUAAGGCCCUUUCGGGGGUACACGAGCGGCGAACGGGUGAGUAACACGUGGGUGACCUGCCCUCAGCUCUGGGAUAAGCCUGGGAAACCGGGUCUAAUACUGGAUAUGACUCCAUGACGCAUGUUGUGGGGUGGAAAGCCUUGUGCGGCUGAGGAUGGGCCCGCGGCCUAUCAGCUUGUUGGUGGGGNGAUGGCCUACCAAGGCGACGACGGGUAGCCGGCCUGAGAGGGCGACCGGCCACACUGGGACUGAGACACGGCCCAGACUCCUACGGGAGGCAGCAGUGGGGAAUCUUGCGCAAUGGGCGGAAGCCUGACGCAGCGACGCCGCGUGAGGGAUGACGGCCU